AUGACUGUCUCAGUGAGAUUAUUGUGUUAUUGCUUUUUCUCUCAUUUAAACGUUCCAUGCAGAAGUCUGUUAAACAGAGUGGAUGUUUGCAUGCAGAAGUCUGUUAAACAGAGCGGAUGUUUGCAUGCAGAAGUCUGUUAAACAGAGCGGAUGUUUGCAUGCAGAAGUCUAUUAUCAGUUGUUAGCCUGUUUUCACUAGAUUGCCUUAUGCAGUGAGGAAUUCCAUGUGCAGUGGCUUUACUGUGAUUCCUGUUUUACUUUUUAAACUCCGGUACAGAUUUACAUGCAUCAGAUCUCCACCAAUCAGCAGUUUUACAUGCAUCAUAUCUCCACCAAUCAGCAGAUUUACAUGCAUAAGAUCCCCCACCAAUCAGCAGGUUUACAUGCAUUAGAUCUCCACCAAUCAGCAGGUUUACAUGCAUCAGAUCUCUGGUUUCUUUAAGGUUAAUAUGUUCUUGAAGAACAUCAAAAGGCUAAAUUGGAGUUUUUUUAAUCAACUUUUAACCAUGCAAGGUGUAUAUGAUCAACAUUUGUACGUACUGAACAAUGGAGUGCCAGCCUAGCCGCUUGGUUUUGUUCUAACUGAAGUUUAUUUAUUUAUUUUUUUUUUUGCGGACGACCAUAUGACUGGGCAGUACUGUAGGUGAGACAGGACCAGUGACUGAAUGACCUGAUUUAGUGUGGAUGAUGUUAAAUAAGAGAAGCAUUUCCAUAUCAUGCAGAUUCCUUUUCCCAUCUUGCUUAUAAUAUUUUCUAUAUGUUCUGACAAAGUCAAUAAGCCAUCUAAUGUUACUUCCAGAAGCUUGGUUAUUUUAACCUCUUCAACAGGCACCACUGACAUGGUCAGUUUCAGUUGUGGGUCACAGGCCAGUGUGGACCUUGAACCAAAAGCUAUACACUUUGUUUUAGAGAUGUUUAAAACCAAUCUAUUACUCUCCACCCAUGCAGACACUAGACCUAAUUCCCUAUUCAGGACCUUGGUCAGUUCUUCACAAGUUGAAGCAGCACUGUACAGAGUAGAGUCAUCUGCAUACAUUACUACACUUGCUACUUUUAUAGCAGAAGGUAAAUCAUUGGUAAAUAUUGAGAACAGAAGUGGACCUAGCUGCAGCUUCCCUGUGGAAUACCGCAGUUUAUGUUUUUGCUGUCUGAAAAGCUUCUGUUGAAGAAGACUCCUUGUGAUCUAUUGGACAGAUAGCUGUCCAUCCAAGAGAGGGAGGUUGAGUCGAAGCCAUAACACCUUAGUUUACCUAUCAGUACCUUGUGGUCAAUAACGUCGAAGGCAGUGCUAAAGUCUAAUAAUACUGCUCCGACUAUUUUCUUACUAUCCAUAUGUUUUAACCAAUCGUCUGCCAUUUGAGCUAAUGCAGUACUUGUAGAGUGAGUCUCUCUGUAUGCGUGCUGAGAACCAGUCAUUAACCUGUUACCUAAAAAAUAAUCCUUAAUUUGCAUAAAAACAAAUCUUUCCAAUAAUUUGCUUAAUACAGGGAAACUACUUAUUGGGCGACUAUUGUAGCCCAUAAUAACUUAACAGAACUAUAAUAAACACCUGUGACAGGGAACAGGGGUCUAAGGUCAUGUGACUUUGAUAUACUGAAAACAGCAGCAACAACAGCAGCACAUUACUGUCACCAAGACCACUGAUCAGAGGCAGAUCUUUAACUCUGUUAUCAGGAAGGAGAGUUUCACAACAGGCACAACAUUCUGAAAUCCUGAAGUAAAUGUAUGUUACAGCUAUCUGAAUGGUUACACUGUGUAAUUAGGAAGCUAAAUUUAAGUAUAUUUCUAAUUUGUUCUUUGUAAAAUUAAACAGACACGAGACUUCUCUACUGUAAUGUGAUUAUAUGCUGUCUUUGUUUGUAUCAUAUUUGUGUUCAUAACUGUUCUAACCUGUUACCAUUCCAAAGCCCCUAAAAGUCCAUGUGCACCGGUUAUAACAGGUCUUAAAUAAAUCCUCAUAUCCUCAUAAGUACAGACAGUACAGGCACAGUCAGAGCCUCAAACUGCAGGAAACCUCUGAACCAUCAAAACUAAAGCAUCAGCAUCUGUGCUUGUCUGAUCUACGACACAUAAAAUACACUUACUACAAAACAGCAUUUACAUUAAAGAAGCAAAAUCCUUCUUUUUAAAUUCCAUAUUUAUUUAUUAUCACAGUCAAAAUGGAUACAUAAAUAAAAAUAAGGUCAUAAAGUGAUUCAGCAGAGUGUUUUCCACAGCUGAGCGCAUUUGUGUGCGUGUACAGGCAGCCGCAUUCAACCAGGUGUGUCCAUCUUAAACACUUUUCCCAAACCUCCACAAGUGUCUCUCCAACCUUCCCCAAAUUAGAAAAUGCCUUGCAUAUCCUGUUAUCUGGUAAAAUUACAUUUCCGAAGUAGUUUUUAGAUGUUUGUUUAAGCAGAAAUAUUUGUAGAUAUCGGGAUUGUAGCAGCUAAGCGGAGACCGCUGAUGGAAACACGUGAGCGAGCGGACAGAGCCGAAUGCUUCCGAUUUAUCAGCUGCAAAAUUUAAAACUUAGCUUCAUUCUGUAAACAACCGUGUAUGAGAUGUAGUAUAAGCAUGUAACACGCGCAACAUUCCCGCAUGAACAUCACCCCGAAGAGCAUGCAAGGUUGGCGAGUAAUAAUAGAGGGAAUGGAUUUAUAUUUGCGGAGGUCUACUGCAACGCGUAAAAGUGUUCAUAACGCACAGGAACCCCUGGUAGUUAGGCUAACUUUUACAGUGUUAACUACUGCCUGCUCUCACACACUGUCACGAUAAUUCCAUAAAGUCGUGCAGAUGGAUGAUUUAUCUAAUUUGUUUAUCCCACCCCGACCCCCGACCCCUCCCCCUAACCCGAGCCUGCAGUCUACAGAGAAAUGGGGAAGUAUUUCCUAUUUUAUAAAACUCAGUUACAGUGCAAGCAGGAAAAUGUGGGGGGGUGCAGUACUACGUGCUUAAGUUUGUUAUUGUUGUCAUUUGUUAUUGACGUCAUAUGCCUUGAAAAGCUUGACCUCACGUGUCUCUCGUUACCUGUUCGUUUGAUAGGCUCUUUAAAAGCAGUUUUUACAUGGCUUUGCUUCAGAACGACUCUGUUCGAAUUGUGGGCAGUUUUAUUACAGAAUAGAAUUAAUAUAAUCAAAUAAA
Anguilla rostrata (American eel) is the source of this 3123-nucleotide long non-coding RNA. RefSeq lists it as uncharacterized. The transcript is spliced from 2 exons. The record is from RefSeq and is a predicted model, not a curated record. NCBI's taxonomy places the organism in Eukaryota, Metazoa, Chordata, Actinopteri, Anguilliformes, Anguillidae.